This 468-nucleotide ribosomal RNA is filed under the name uncultured Thauera sp. Its description in RNAcentral is "bacterial SSU rRNA". It matches the Rfam family "Bacterial small subunit ribosomal RNA", at positions 910 to 1382 of the family's 1533-position model. The record is from RNAcentral. Lineage: Bacteria; Pseudomonadati; Pseudomonadota; Betaproteobacteria; Rhodocyclales; Zoogloeaceae.
UUGACGGGACCCGCACAAGCGGUGGAUGAUGUGGAUUAAUUCGAUGCAACGCGAAAACCUUACCUACCCUUGACAUGUCUGGAACCUUGGUGAGAGCCGAGGGUGCCUUCGGAGCCAGAACACAGGUGCUGCAUGGCUGUCGUCAGCUCGUGUCGUGAGAUGUUGGGUUAAGUCCCGCAACGAGCGCAACCCUUGUCACUAGUUGCCAUCAUUUAGUUGGGCACUCUAGUGAGACUGCCGGUGACAAACCGGAGGAAGGUGGGGAUGACGUCAAGUCCUCAUGGCCCUUAUGGGUAGGGCUUCACACGUCAUACAAUGGUCGGUACAGAGGGUUGCCAACCCGCGAGGGGGAGCUAAUCCCACAAAGCCGAUCGUAGUCCGGAUCGCAGUCUGCAACUCGACUGCGUGAAGUCGGAAUCGCUAGUAAUCGUGGAUCAGCAUGCUUCGGUGAAUACGUUCCCGGGCCUU